GCAAGUCGAACGAGAAGCCUGUAAUGAAUACUUCGGUAGGAUUUUUGGGUGGAAAGUGACGAACGGGUGAGUAACACGUGGGUGACCUGCCCUGGAGAGGGGGAUAACCAUUCGAAAGGAUGGCUAAUACCGCAUAACUCUAGAUACAUGGGAAUGUAAUUAGAGAAAGCUCCGGCGCUCUGGGAGGGGCCUGCGUCCGAUUAGCUAGUUGGUGGGGUAAAAGCCUACCAAGGCGACAAUCGGUAGCUGGUCUGAGAGGACGAUCAGCCACACGGGAACUGAGACACGGUCCCGACUCCUACGGGGGGCAGCAGUGAGGAAUAUUGCACAAUGGGGGCAACCCUGAUGCAGCAACGCCGCGUGGAGGAUGAAGGCCCUUGGGUCGUAAACUCCUUUUCUGGGGGAAGAGAAAGGACGGUACCCCAGGAAUAAGUCACGG
Molecule: ribosomal RNA, 439 nt
Filed under: uncultured bacterium
Lineage: Bacteria
Description: bacterial SSU rRNA
Rfam family: Bacterial small subunit ribosomal RNA
Source: RNAcentral